This 394-nucleotide ribosomal RNA is filed under the name uncultured bacterium. RNAcentral describes it as "partial 16S ribosomal RNA". It matches the Rfam family "Bacterial small subunit ribosomal RNA", at positions 338 to 729 of the family's 1533-position model. The record is from RNAcentral.
CCUACGGGAGGCAGCAGUGAGGAAUAUUGGUCAAUGGGCGUAAGUCUGAACCAGCCAAGUCGCGUGAGGGAUGAAUGCCCUAUGGAUUGUAAACUUCUUUUAUAUGGGAAUAAAGUGUUGCACGUGUCCUAUUUUGUAUGUACCAUAUGAAUAAGGAUCGGCUAACUCCGUGCCAGCAGCCGCGGUAAUACGGAGGAUCCGAGCGUUAUCCGGAUUUAUUGGGUUUAAAGGGUGCGUAGGUGGCUUUUUAAGUCAGCUGUGAAAGUUUGCGGCUCAACCGUAAAAUUGCAGUUGAAACUGGAAGUCUUGAGUAUAGUAGAGGCGGGCGGAAUGCGUGGUGUAGCGGUGAAAUGCUUAGAUAUCACGAAGAACCCCGAUUGCGAAGGCAGCCCAC